CUAGAGAGAAAUAGAGGGAAGCGGAAUUCCGGGUGUAGUGGUGAAAUGCGUAGAUAUCCGGAGGAAUACCGGUGGCGAAGGCGGCUUCCUGGAUUUCAACUGACGCUGAGGCGCGAAAGCGUGGGUAGCGAACGGGAUUAGAAACCCCGGUAGUCCACGCCGUAAACGAUGCACAUUCGAUGUUCGGUCAUGUUAAGUGAUUGAGUGUUCCAGCAAACGCGAUAAAUGUGCCGCCUGGGGAGUACGGUCGCAAGGCUAAAACUCAAAGGAAUUGACGGGGGCCCGCACAAGCAGCGGAGCGUGUGGUUUAAUUCGAGGCUACGCGAAGAACCUUACCUGGGUUUGACAUGAUGGUAGUACGGAAGCGAAAGCGGAAGGACCUUCGGGAGCCAUCACAGGUGCUGCAUGGUUGUCGUCAGCUCGUGCCGUGAGGUGUUCGGUUAAGUCCGCAAACGAGCGCAACCCUCGAUGCUAGUUACAAGUGUCUAGCAUGACUGCCCAUGACAAAUGGGAGGAAGGUGGGGAUGAUGUCAAAUCAGCAUGGCCUUUAUAUCCAGGGCGACACACACGCUACAAUGGUCGGUACAAUGGGUAGCGAAGCCGCGAGGUGGAGCGAAUCCUGCAAAGUCGGUCUCAGUUCGGAUUGCAGGCUGCAACUCGCCUGCAUGAAGUCGGAGUUGCUAGUAACCGCAAAUCAGCACGUUGCGGUGAAUACGUUCCCGGGCCUUGUACACACCGCCC
This 741-nucleotide ribosomal RNA is filed under the name uncultured bacterium. RNAcentral describes it as "bacterial SSU rRNA". It matches the Rfam family "Bacterial small subunit ribosomal RNA", at positions 641 to 1395 of the family's 1533-position model. The record is from RNAcentral.